GUCCUACGGGAGGCAGCAGUGGGGAAUAUUGGACAAUGGGGGAAACCCUGAUCCAGCGACGCCGCGUGAGUGAAGAAGUAUUUCGGUAUGUAAAGCUCUAUCAGCAGGGAAGAAAAAAAGUCCUUUGGACUUUGGACGGUACCUGACCAAGAAGCCCCGGCUAACUACGUGCCAGCAGCCGCGGGAAUACGUAGGGGGCAAGCGUUAUCCGGAUUCACUGGGCGUAAAGGGAGCGCAGGCGGCACGGCAAGCCUG
RNAcentral lists this ribosomal RNA (255 nucleotides) under uncultured bacterium. RNAcentral's name for it is "partial 16S ribosomal RNA". It matches the Rfam family "Bacterial small subunit ribosomal RNA", at positions 335 to 591 of the family's 1533-position model. The record is from RNAcentral.